AUUUAAAAGCAGCAGAGAGCUUCAGAAACAUUGAAAACUAAAGGCAGUAAAAUUGCAGACAGAGAAGAAAUAUUCAGAGAAAAGUUGAGGAACAACAGCUGUCACUGGGGGCGAGGGAAACUUUCUCAUCAGGGACGUCUUAACUGGACAAUCCAGGCUUGGACCUCAGCAGAGGGUCAUUGCUAGGGGACAGAGAAAUAAGACCUCCUACAGUCAGUACUUCCCUUGAUGGCGGUGAAUGACCAGGAGUGGACAAAAUAAGGGUGCUUCCCAAAGUGUUCUGAAGAACAGCAGUCCUUUGACGUACUCUAAAAAGACCAACUUCUCAGUCAAGCUGUCUUCCAGAGUGGCUGUACUAUUUUGCAUUCCCGUCAGCGAUGAAUGAGAGCUCCUGUCGCUCUACGUCUUCAACAAUUGAUGUUGUCAGUGUUUUGGAUUUUAGACAUCCUAGUAGUAUGCAGAUUUCUCGAAAAACUAAAAAUGGAACUACCACAGAUUCCAGCUAUUCCACUACUGGGUAUUUCUCCAAAGAACAUGAAAUCAACAAUUUAAAGAGACUUAUGCACCCCUAUGUUCAUUGCAGCGUUAUUCAUAAUAGCCAAGAUGUGGAAACAACCCAAGUGCCUAUCAACUGAUGAUUGGAUAAAGAAGAUGUGGUGUGUAGAUAUAUACAAUGGAAUACUACUUAACCAUAAAAAAGACAAAAUUGUCCCAUUUGCAACAACAGGGACAGACCUUGAGGCUAUUAUGCUAAGUGAAAUAAGUUAGAGAAAGACAAACACCAUAUCAUUUCACUGGUGAAAAAACAAGUAUCUGCAGGUGAAGCAUCUUGGUCAAGUCCCCACGGGAAAGGAGAGCUAAAAUCCAGUCUGAGUUUUCCGACAGGCUGGACGUGUUGCAGCUGAAGCCCAAUAAGCUUGGAUUAUAGCUGUUAGGGUCAAGUCUAUUGUCCAUUGUCAGUCUUCCUAUUGGAAAUAUUUCGAACGUGCAGAUCUUAAUCUGGAGCACUCAUGAACCAUAUUCCUACGAGCGUUGCUUGCUCCAACACCUUCGGCAGAAUGAUUGGGCCAUGAACAGAUAAGUGGAAAUGGCUCAUCUUGCUCUUCUCCAAGAUGCUUUCUGUCUCUCUUUGUUUUCUCUGUGACUACAGCCUCUGGGUUUUAUCCUUUUCUUAUAGCAACCUGGAGGGAAUCUUGUAAGUCCAACUUGAAAUGAGUCAUUGGACAGCAGCACUGGAGGCAGUGAAACGUCCCACGUAAAGCUGAUAUCUCUUCAGUCUGCAAAGCUAAGGAAUCACCACCUGUUUACUCAUUCCGUGAUCACUAUUGUAUAAGCUACAUAAACUACGAGGAGGAGAAAUGGGGUCUGGAAGUUCUUUUACAACAUGUAUAUAACUUAGUUUAUUAUUAGCACCUGGAAGGCAUCUCAAUCAGUAUUCAUUCCUUUGAAACUUUUAAGUUGAGAAAUAUUUCUCUUUUAUGAAAGGGAACAUUUUAGGGAAGAUCAGCAGUUCUCCAGCUAGUGUGGAUAACACAGAGAUACUAAGUGGAGGAAGCUCGUGUGCAGCAAGAAGAAGAGGAUGCUUCCAGGUCCCGCCUGCCGUGAGGACGCUGCAGCAAACACAGGGGCACAGAUGUCCUUUCCAAUUAGUGUCUUCACAGUCUUUGGAUAAACACCCAGAAGUGGAAUAGCUGGAUUAUGUGGUAGUUGUAUUCUUAAUUGUUUGAGGAAUCUCCUUACUGUUUCAUCUGAAAUUUAUAGAACGUUAUAAAUCAAUGUUACCUCAAUAAAAUUAAAAAAUAAAUUUUAAAAAAA
This is a long non-coding RNA of Equus caballus (horse), 1815 nucleotides long. Lineage: Eukaryota; Metazoa; Chordata; Mammalia; Perissodactyla; Equidae. The record is from Ensembl.